This 255-nucleotide ribosomal RNA is filed under the name uncultured bacterium. RNAcentral's name for it is "partial 16S ribosomal RNA". It matches the Rfam family "Bacterial small subunit ribosomal RNA", at positions 524 to 776 of the family's 1533-position model. The record is from RNAcentral.
UACGGGGGGGAGCAAGCGUUGUUCGGAUUUACUGGGCGUAAAGGGCGCGUAGGCGGCGCAACAAGUCACUUGUGAAAUCUCCGGGCUUAACCCGGAGCGGCCAAGUGAUACUGUCGUGCUAGAGUGCGGAAGGGGCUACUGGAAUUCUCGGUGUAGCGGUGAAAUGCGUAGAUAUCGAGAGGAACACCAGUGGCGAAGGCGACUACCUGGCCUGUUCUUGACGCUGAGGCGCGAAAGCCUAGGGGAGCAAACGGG